CACAAGCGGUGGAUCAUGUUGUUUAAUUCGAUGAUACGCGAAGAACCUUACCAGGUCUUGACAUCCCCUGCAAAGCUAUGGAGACAUAGUGGAGGUUAUCAGGGAGACAGGUGGUGCAUGGUUGUCGUCAGCUCGUGUCGUGAGAUGUUGGGUUAAGUCCCGCAACGAGCGCAACCCUUAUUGCUAGUUACCAUCAUUCAGUUGGGGACUCUAGCGAGACUGCCAGUGAUAAACUGGAGGAAGGUGGGGAUGACGUCAAAUCAUCAUGCCCCUUAUGACCUGGGCUACAAACGUGAUACAAUGGCUGAAACAAAGGGCAGCGAAGCAGUGAUGUGGAGCGAAACCCAAAAAAGCAGUCUCAGUUCGGAUUGAAGUCUGCAACUCGACUUCAUGAAGUCGGAAUCGCUAGUAAUCGCGGAUCAGAACGCCGCGGUGAAUACGUUCUCGGGGUUU
Molecule: ribosomal RNA, 453 nt
Filed under: uncultured Acholeplasma sp.
Lineage: Bacteria; Bacillati; Mycoplasmatota; Mollicutes; Acholeplasmatales; Acholeplasmataceae
Description: bacterial SSU rRNA
Rfam family: Bacterial small subunit ribosomal RNA
Source: RNAcentral